GCCAAGAUUACAGUGAAAAAAUUAAUCAAAAUUUCUUAUUAUUACAUGAAGAACUUUACCAUAGAUAAUAUAAAAAAUCAGUUUUACGUUAACACCGCUAGAGGCCAUUUCAAAUACAGACACAAUCCAAAACGGUAUUAUUUGCAAUAUAUAAUGCUACAGGCAAUGGUUACAAUUACAUAAACUGAGAAGUAAAAUGAAACGUAAAAUUGAUACUAGUUCUAGAAAAAACAAAAAACUUAGAUAUACAGUUCACACUAAAUUAAUAAAUUUCAUGGCACCUAAUGAUCAAUCACCAUAGGCAGAUGAAGCUUAACAAGAUUUGUAUAAUUCAUUGUUUGGGAAAAAAAAUAACAUAAUAAUGAGUAAUAGAGGACAUUGGGGCACAUUUGAAUGUAGGGUAGUUUUGAAUUGAUUAAAUACAAUUAACUGUAGUGAUAAAGUUAAUUCAAGUAAAAUACAGAAGGUUAGUCAUACUGUACCCAAUAUAUAAUAUGUUCAUCAGCUAUCUGUUAUUAAUAUUUUCAUUAUUACAAAUAAAACUGUGUUUUUGAA
This is a long non-coding RNA of Daktulosphaira vitifoliae (grape phylloxera), 555 nucleotides long. RefSeq lists it as uncharacterized. The transcript has 2 exons. Lineage: Eukaryota; Metazoa; Arthropoda; Insecta; Hemiptera; Phylloxeridae. The record is from RefSeq and is a predicted model, not a curated record.